CCUGAAUCAGUGUGUGUGUUAGUGGAAGCGUCUGGAAAGGCGCGCGAUACAGGGUGACAGCCCCGUACACAAAAAUGCACAUGCUGUGAGCUCGAUGAGUAGGGCGGGACACGUGGUAUCCUGUCUGAAUAUGGGGGGACCAUCCUCCAAGGCUAAAUACUCCUGACUGACCGAUAGUGAACCAGUACCGUGAGGGAAAGGCGAAAAGAACCCCGGCGAGGGGAGUGAAAAAGAACCUGAAACCGUGUACGUACAAGCAGUGGGAGCACGCUUAGGCGUGUGACUGCGUACCUUUUGUAUAAUGGGUCAGCGACUUAUAUUCUGUAGCAAGGUUAACCGAAUAGGGGAGCCGAAGGGAAACCGAGUCUUAACUGGGCGUUAAGUUGCAGGGUAUAGACCCGAAACCCGGUGAUCUAGCCAUGGGCAGGUUGAAGGUUGGGUAACACUAACUGGAGGACCGAACCGACUAAUGUUGAAAAAUUAGCGGAUGACUUGUGGCUGGGGGUGAAAGGCCAAUCAAACCGGGAGAUAGCUGGUUCUCCCCGAAAGCUAUUUAGGUAGCGCCUCGUGAAUUCAUCUCCGGGGGUAGAGCACUGUUUCGGCAAGGGGGUCAUCCCGACUUACCAACCCGAUGCAAA
This 638-nucleotide ribosomal RNA is filed under the name Escherichia coli. Its description in RNAcentral is "partial 23S ribosomal RNA". It matches the Rfam family "Bacterial large subunit ribosomal RNA", at positions 311 to 953 of the family's 2925-position model. The record is from RNAcentral. Lineage: Bacteria; Pseudomonadati; Pseudomonadota; Gammaproteobacteria; Enterobacterales; Enterobacteriaceae.